This 111-nucleotide Y RNA is filed under the name Propithecus coquereli (Coquerel's sifaka). RNAcentral describes it as "Y RNA (ENSPCOG00000007040.1)". It matches the Rfam family "Y RNA". From Rfam's summary of the family: Y RNAs are components of the Ro ribonucleoprotein particle (Ro RNP), in association with Ro60 and La proteins. The Y RNAs and Ro60 and La proteins are well conserved, but the function of the Ro RNP is not known. Lineage: Eukaryota; Metazoa; Chordata; Mammalia; Primates; Indriidae. The record is from Rfam by way of RNAcentral.
GGCUUCUCUGAAGGUAGUGAGUGAUUUCAAUUGAUUGUUUAUGGUUAGAAAUCGAACGCCUUUCUCUAUUCAUUCCCCUAUUUUCUCACUGCUGUACUUGAGUAGUCUUAA